This 433-nucleotide ribosomal RNA is filed under the name uncultured bacterium. RNAcentral describes it as "partial 16S ribosomal RNA". It matches the Rfam family "Bacterial small subunit ribosomal RNA", at positions 29 to 507 of the family's 1533-position model. The record is from RNAcentral.
AACGAACGCUGGCGGCAUGCCUAACACAUGCAAGUCGAACGAGACCUUCGGGUCUAGUGGCGCACGGGUGCGUAACGUGUGGGAAUCUGCCCUUGGGUUCGGAAUAACAGUGAGAAAUUACUGCUAAUAUCGGAUGAUGUCUUCGGACCAAAGAUUUAUCGCCCAGGGAUGAGCCCGCGUAGGAUUAGCUAGUUGGUGGGGUAAUGGCCUACCAAGGCGACGAUCCUUAGCUGGUCUGAGAGGAUGAUCAGCCACACUGGGACUGAGACACGGCCCAGACUCCUACGGGAGGCAGCAGUGGGGAAUAUUGGACAAUGGGCGCAAGCCUGAUCCAGCAAUGCCGCGUGAGUGUUGAAGGCCGUAGGGUUGUAAAGCUCUUUUACCCGGGAUGAUAAUGACAGUACCGGGAGAAUAAGCUCCGGCUAACUCCGUG